RNAcentral lists this non-coding RNA (90 nucleotides) under Schistosoma japonicum. The record is from RNAcentral. Lineage: Eukaryota; Metazoa; Platyhelminthes; Trematoda; Strigeidida; Schistosomatidae.
UAUUGGCCAUGAUUGUAGCUCUGCUUUUCGCGGUGCUUUUGUUGCUAAUGCACAUUUAGCACACGAACGGGAUAGCUGCUCAAGUCGGAU